RNAcentral lists this ribosomal RNA (247 nucleotides) under uncultured bacterium. RNAcentral's name for it is "partial 16S ribosomal RNA". It matches the Rfam family "Bacterial small subunit ribosomal RNA", at positions 523 to 769 of the family's 1533-position model. The record is from RNAcentral.
AUACGUAGGGAGCGAGCGUUGUCCGGAAUUACUGGGUGUAAAGGGAGCGUAGGCGGGAUCACAAGUCAGAUGUGAAAACUAUGGGCUUAACCCAUAAACUGCAUUUGAAACUGUGGUUCUUGAGUGAAGUAGAGGUGAGCGGAAUUCCUAGUGUAGCGGUGAAAUGCGUAGAUAUUAGGAGGAACAUCAGUGGCGAAGGCGGCUUACUGGGCAGCAACUGACGCUGAGGCGCGAAAGCCAGGGGAGC